GAUCUGGCUCAGGACGAACGCUGGCGGCGCGCCUAACACAUGCAAGUCGAACGGAGCUUAAAGAGCUUGCUUUUUAAGCUUAGUGGCGAACGGGUGAGUAACGCGUGAGUAACCUGCCCUGGAGUGGGGGACAACAGUUGGAAACGACUGCUAAUACCGCAUAAGCCCACGGAUCCGCAUGGAUCUGCGGGAAAAGGAUUUAUUCGCUUCAGGAUGGACUCGCGUCCAAUUAGCUAGUUGGUGAGGUAACGG
This 252-nucleotide ribosomal RNA is filed under the name uncultured bacterium. Its description in RNAcentral is "partial 16S ribosomal RNA". It matches the Rfam family "Bacterial small subunit ribosomal RNA", at positions 15 to 263 of the family's 1533-position model. The record is from RNAcentral.